ACGGGGCUGAAUGUACCUGAAGAAUAAGCAUCGGCUAACUCCGUGCCAGCAGCCGCGGUAAUACGGAGGAUGCAAGCGUUAUCCGGAUUUAUUGGGUUUAAAGGGUGCGCAGGCGGAUAAGUAAGUCAGUGGUGAAAUCUCUCGGCUCAACCGAGAAACUGCCAUUGAUACUGUUUAUCUUGAGUGUAAAUGAAGUGGGCGGAAUGUAGCAUGUAGCGGUGAAAUGCAUAGAUAUGCUACAGAACACCAAUUGCGAAGGCAGCUCACUAAAUUACAACUGACGCUCAUGCACGAAAGCGUGAGGAUCAAACAGGAUUAGAUACCCUGGUAGUCCACGCUGUAAACGAUGAUUACUCGUUGUGGCGAUACACAGUCAGCGGACCAAAGCGAAAAGU
This 395-nucleotide ribosomal RNA is filed under the name uncultured bacterium. Its description in RNAcentral is "bacterial SSU rRNA". It matches the Rfam family "Bacterial small subunit ribosomal RNA", at positions 463 to 865 of the family's 1533-position model. The record is from RNAcentral.